Molecule: ribosomal RNA, 492 nt
Filed under: uncultured bacterium
Lineage: Bacteria
Description: partial 16S ribosomal RNA
Rfam family: Bacterial small subunit ribosomal RNA
Source: RNAcentral
GAUGAACGCUAGCUACAGGCUUAACACAUGCAAGUCGAGGGGAAACGGCAUUGAGUGCUUGCACUCUUUGGACGUCGACCGGCGCACGGGUGAGUAACGCGUAUCCAACCUUCCCAUUACUGUGGGAUAACCUGCCGAAAGGCAGACUAAUACCGCAUAGUCUUCGAUGACGGCAUCAGAUUUGAAGUAAAGAUUUAUCGGUAAUGGAUGGGGAUGCGUCUGAUUAGCUUGUUGGCGGGGUGACGGCCCACCAAGGCUACGAUCAGUAGGGGUUCUGAGAGGAAGGUCCCCCACAUUGGAACUGAGACACGGUCCAAACUCCUACGGGAGGCAGCAGUGAGGAAUAUUGGUCAAUGGACGGAAGUCUGAACCAGCCAAGUAGCGUGCAGGAUGACGGCCCUAUGGGUUGUAAACUGCUUUUGUAUGGGGAUAAAGUUAGGGACGUGUCCCUAUUUGCAGGUACCAUACGAAUAAGGACCGGCUAAUUCCGUG